GGUCCGAGCUUGAAAGAUGGCUUCGGCUAUCACUUUUGGAUGGUCCCGCGGCGUAUUAGCUAGAUGGUGGGGUAACGGCUCACCAUGGCAAUGAUACGUAGCCGACCUGAGAGGGUAAUCGGCCACAUUGGGACUGAGACACGGCCCAAACUCCUACGGGAGGCAGCAGUAGGGAAUCUUCCACAAUGGACGAAAGUCUGAUGGAGCAACGCCGCGUGAGUGAAGAAGGGUUUCGGCUCGUAAAACUCUGUUGUUAAAGAAGAACAUAUCUGAGAGUAACUGUUCAGGUAUUGACGGUAUUUAACCAGAAAGCCACGGCUAACUACGUGCCAGCAGCCGCGGUAAUACGUAGGUGGCAAGCGUUGUCCGGAUUUAUUGGGCGUAAAGCGAGCGCAGGCGGUUUUUUAAGUCUGAUGUGAAAGCCUUCGGCUCAACCGAAGAAGUGCAUCGGAAACUGGGAAACUUGAGUGCAGAAGAGGACAGUGGAACUCCAUGUGUAGCGGUGAAAUGCGUAGAUAUAUGGAAGAACACCAGUGGCGAAGGCGGCUGUCUGGUCUGUAACUGACGCUGAGGCUCGAAAGUAUGGGUAGCAAACAGGAUUAGAUACCCUGGUAGUCCAUACCGUAAACGAUGAAUGCUAAGUGUUGGAGGGUUUCCGCCCUUCAGUGCUGCAGCUAACGCAUUAAGCAUUCCGCCUGGGGAGUACGGCCGCAAGGCUGAAACUCAAAGGAAUUGAC
RNAcentral lists this ribosomal RNA (737 nucleotides) under Lactiplantibacillus plantarum. RNAcentral describes it as "bacterial SSU rRNA". It matches the Rfam family "Bacterial small subunit ribosomal RNA", at positions 191 to 914 of the family's 1533-position model. The record is from RNAcentral. Lineage: Bacteria; Bacillati; Bacillota; Bacilli; Lactobacillales; Lactobacillaceae.